UCUCCGUUGGUGAACCAGCGGAGGGAUCAUUACAGAGUUGCGAAACUCCCUAAACCAUUUGUGAACCUACCCCCAAAACAGUUGCUUCGGCGGCGCCCUAGCCGGCCCGCCGGAGACCGCCAAACGCUUUGUUUUUACACUGGCCUCUCUGAGUAACUUAUACAAUAAGUCAAAACUUUCAACAACGGAUCUCUUGGUUCUG
This 202-nucleotide unclassified non-coding RNA is filed under the name root metagenome. RNAcentral's name for it is "partial contains small subunit ribosomal RNA, internal transcribed spacer 1, and 5.8S ribosomal RNA". The record is from RNAcentral.